Molecule: ribosomal RNA, 1237 nt
Filed under: metagenome
Description: bacterial LSU rRNA
Rfam family: Bacterial large subunit ribosomal RNA
Source: RNAcentral
UGAAUACGAGAUGCUACGGCGUCGAAGCAGUGUAUGUCAGACUUCCAAGAAAAGCUCGCAAUGUCAUAAAUAAAGAAUGCCUGUACCAUAACCGACACAGGUGGGUAGGUAGAGUAUACUAAGGGGCGCGAGAUAACUCUCUCUAAGGAACUCGGCAAAAUAACUCCGUAACUUCGGGAGAAGGAGUGCCUUCUUUAAGAAGGUUGCAAUAACAAGAUCCAAGCAACUGUUUAUCAAAAACACAGGUCUCCGCUAAGUCGUAAGACGAUGUAUGGGGGCUGACGCCUGCCCAGUGCCAGAAGGUUAAAGAAGUUGGUUAGCUUUUGCGAAGCUGAUGACUGAAGCCCUGGUGAACGGCGGCCGUAACAAUAACGGUCCUAAGGUAGCGAAAUUCCUUGUCGGGUGAGUUCCGACCCGCACGAAAGGCGUAAUGAUUUGGAUACUGUCUCGGAGAGGGACUCGGUGAAAUAGACUUGUCUGUGAAGAUGCGGACUACCUGCACCAGGACAGAAAGACCCUAUGAAGCUUUACUGUAACUUGAAAUUGAAAUUGGACUUUAUUUGCGCAGUAUAGGUGGAAGGCGUUGAAAGUAAUCUUGCGGGAUUAGUGGAGCCAUCAGUGAGAUACCACUCCUAUAAUGUUAGAUUUCUAACUUUGGAUCAUGAUCUGGUCAAAGAACAGUUUCAGGCGGGCAGUUUGACUGGGGCGGUCGCCUCCCAAAUGGUAACGGAGGCGUACAAAGGUUUCCUCUGAACGGGUAGAAAUCGUAUCUAGAGUGUAAAGGCAUAAGGAAGCUUGACUGUGAGACCUACAAGUCGAGCAGGGACGAAAGUCGGUCUUAGUGAUCUGACGGUGCUGAGUGGAAAGGCCGUCACUCAACGGAUAAAAGUUACUCUAGGAUAACAGGCUGAUCUCCCCCAAGAGUUCACAUCGACGGGGAGGUUUGGCACCUCGAUGUCGGCUCAUCGCAUCCUGGGGCGGUAGUACGUCCCAAGGGUUGGGCUGUUCGCCCAUGAAAGCGGUACGCGAGCUGGGUUCAGAACGUCGUGAGACAGUUCGGUCCAUAUCCGGUGUAGGCGUUAGAAUAUUGAGAGGAGCCUUCUUUAGUACGAGAGGACCGAGAAGGACAUACCUCUGGUGUACCAGUUAUCGUGCCAACGGUAAACGCUGGGUAGCUAUGUAUGGAGAGGAUAACCGCUGAAAGCAUCUAAGUGGGAAGCCCACCUCAAGAUGAGUA